CGCGCAGCCGCCGCCAGAGCCAGGAGAGGCGGAAUCUCGCCGGCGCCGCUCCCUGCGCGGGACUCGCGGAGGGCCACUGGGCAUGCUCAGUCGCCGGAGCCCGUGCUGGUCUAAGUAGGAAGCUCGCGCGCUGUUCCUGCAGCUGAUCCGGGCGCGCCGGGGAGGGGAGGACCAGAGCCGAACGAGGCGAUUGCCGCGCGCACCGCCGGGGUCAAACUCAGGACCGUGUGCUUUCGAGGCAGGCCGUGGCACCGCUGAGCUAAAUCCCUGGCCCAGACCUCACAUUCUUACAUUGGCAUGAGGGGGAAGCCGGAAGUUGCACGGUGUCAGACCUGGUGAGUAAAGUAGAUGAGGAUAUGCUGUAAUGUUUUUAUUUGACAGAUAACUGCUGUAAAUAUUUUGAAUCUGUUCAGGCCAUUGAAGCAACCAUGAAAAGAUACUCAUGAGAGAUGACUGUCCUUCAGGAAACUGGCAUCAGGAUGGGGUUGAACUACAGGACACCCAAUUUGAGUUGAAAUUGGAGAGUCACAGAUAGCCCACAUAACAUUCCUGAGAGAUGGGUGCUCUUCGGACCCUAAUGUGCAGGGAGGAAACAGAUAAGUGAUGCUGCACUGCUAAAAAUGGUUCUGGGACUUCUGGAUUCCAAAUUUCAAACCGUCUCCUCUACAUAGUUGUCUUGUAAAUAUCUCAGAUAGGCAAAUUAAAAAAAUCAGUUUUGUUGUAGGAGAAGUGUUAGAGAGUCAUUGUUUUGGGGAAGGGGCUUAUUACAUUCAUGGUGAAACUCUGAAAAUGGAGCUGAAGGGAAAAUACACUCACUUAAAAUCCUCUGUAAAAUAAAAAAUUGAAGGAAAUGAAAAUGCAGAAAUACUCCUAGAAGCUGGACAGUAUGUUAGCCUUGAUAUGUACAUAAAUGCCUGGAUAUAAUUUAGCCCCCUAUAAAAGCCAUGUUUUGAGAGAUUGCUUAGGAAUAGUUCUAAGCAUCUAAAUUUGAACCCUCUGCUGAUUUUAAAAACAUGUGGG
Long non-coding RNA from Heterocephalus glaber (naked mole-rat), 1020 nucleotides. Lineage: Eukaryota; Metazoa; Chordata; Mammalia; Rodentia; Bathyergidae. The record is from Ensembl.